Molecule: ribosomal RNA, 252 nt
Filed under: uncultured bacterium
Lineage: Bacteria
Description: partial 16S ribosomal RNA
Rfam family: Bacterial small subunit ribosomal RNA
Source: RNAcentral
UACGUAGGUGGCGAGCGUUGUCCGGAUUUAUUGGGCGUAAAGCGAGUGCAGGUGGUUUAUUAAGUCUGGUGUAAAAGGCAGUGGCUCAACCAUUGCAUGCAUUGGAAACUGGUAGACUUGAGUGCAGGAGAGGAGAGUGGAAUUCCAUGUGUAGCGGUGAAAUGCGUAGAUAUAUGGAGGAACACCGGUGGCGAAAGCGGCUCUCUGGCCUGUAACUGACACUGAGGCUCGAAAGCGUGGGGAGCAAACAGG